This 331-nucleotide ribosomal RNA is filed under the name uncultured bacterium. RNAcentral describes it as "bacterial SSU rRNA". It matches the Rfam family "Bacterial small subunit ribosomal RNA", at positions 568 to 898 of the family's 1533-position model. The record is from RNAcentral.
CGCGUAGACGGUUUUGUAAGUCAGAUGUGAAAUCCCUGGGCUCAACCUGGGAACUGCAUUUGAAACUGCAUGGCUAGAGUAUGGAAGAGGGAAGUGGAAUUUCCGGUGUAGCGGUGAAAUGCGUAGAUAUCGGAAGGAACACCAGCGGCGAAAGCGACUUCCUGGUCCAAUACUGACGUUCAUGUGCGAAAGCGUGGGGAGCAAACAGGAUUAGAUACCCUGGUAGUCCACGCCAUAAACGAUGACAACUAGAUGUUGGGAGGGUCUGCCUCUCGGUGUCGCAGCUAACGCGUUAAGUUGUCCGCCUGGGGAGUACGGCCGCAAGGUUGAA